This 117-nucleotide ribosomal RNA is filed under the name Candidatus Aquivivens invisus. The record is from RNAcentral. RNAcentral also lists the same sequence under 5 other names. Lineage: Bacteria; Pseudomonadati; Candidatus Omnitrophota.
CGGAGUGCCUAUACCGAGGGGGUCACACCCGAUCCCAUUCCGAACUCGGUCGUUAAGCCCCUCAGGGCCGAUGGUAGUUAUCCCGCAAGGGAUCGCGAGAGUAGGACGGCGCUCCGG